Molecule: ribosomal RNA, 253 nt
Filed under: uncultured bacterium
Lineage: Bacteria
Description: partial 16S ribosomal RNA
Rfam family: Bacterial small subunit ribosomal RNA
Source: RNAcentral
UACGAAGGGGGCUAGCGUUGUUCGGAAUCACUGGGCGUAAAGCGCACGUAGGCGGAUGUGUCAGUCAGGGGUGAAAUCCCGGAGCUCAACUCCAGAACUGCCUUCGAUACUGGAGAGCUUGAGUCCGGGAGAGGUGAGUGGAACUGCGAGUGUAGAGGUGAAAUUCGUAGAUAUUCGCAAGAACACCAGUGGCGAAGGCGGCUCACUGGCCCGGUACUGACGCUGAGGUACGAAAGCGUGGGGAGCAAACAGG